UACGGAGGGUCCAAGCGUUAUCCGGAAUCAUUGGGUUUAAAGGGUCCGUAGGCGGUUUUGUAAGUCAGUGGUGAAAGCCCAUCGCUCAACGGUGGAACGGCCAUUGAUACUGCAAGACUUGAAUUAUUGGGAAGUAACUAGAAUAUGUAGUGUAGCGGUGAAAUGCUUAGAGAUUACAUGGAAUACCAAUUGCGAAGGCAGGUUACUGCCAAUAUAUUGACGCUGAUGGACGAAAGCGUGGGGAGCGAACAGG
RNAcentral lists this ribosomal RNA (253 nucleotides) under uncultured bacterium. RNAcentral describes it as "partial 16S ribosomal RNA". It matches the Rfam family "Bacterial small subunit ribosomal RNA", at positions 524 to 776 of the family's 1533-position model. The record is from RNAcentral.